AGAGAGAGGGUGAUAGCCCCGUACACGAAAACCUGGCUGUGGUACUGAGCUUGCGACAAGUAGGUCGGGACACGUGAUAUCCUGACUGAAGACGGGGGGACCAUCCUCCAAGGCUAAAUACUCCUGACUGACCGAUAGUGAACCAGUACCGUGAGGGAAAGGCGAAAAGAACCCCGGAGAGGGGAGUGAAAUAGACCCUGAAACCGUAUGCGUACAAGCAGUCGGAGCGCUGCGCCUCAAUCGCUUUGCGAUUGAGAGCUUGCGUUCCUCCUUCAGAAGACAGAGGACGGAAGACAGAGGACAGAAUGUCCUGGUCUGUCUUUGGUUCUUGCGUGUUUGCUGCAGGAGGGGGUAGGCAGUGAGUUUGGGUGAAAGAAGGGUUUGGCAACGCGCAGCGUUGUCUCUGUCUUCUGUCCUCUGACAUCUGUCUUCUGAGCGAAGCCUCAAUAACAGAGUUAUUGAGGCGCAGCGUCACGGCGUACCUUUUGUAUAAUGGGUCAGCGACUUAAUGUUUGUAGCGAGCUUAACCGAGUAGGGGAGGCGCAG
Molecule: ribosomal RNA, 546 nt
Filed under: Dehalococcoidia bacterium
Lineage: Bacteria; Bacillati; Chloroflexota; Dehalococcoidia
Description: partial 23S ribosomal RNA
Rfam family: Bacterial large subunit ribosomal RNA
Source: RNAcentral